Molecule: ribosomal RNA, 400 nt
Filed under: uncultured bacterium
Lineage: Bacteria
Description: bacterial SSU rRNA
Rfam family: Bacterial small subunit ribosomal RNA
Source: RNAcentral
UGAGGAACAUUGCGCAAUGGGGGCAACCCUGACGCAGCAACGCCGCGUGAGUGAGGAAGGUUUUUCGGACUGUAAAGCUCUGUCGAGCGGGAAGAAGUGUACCAUGGCUAAUAUCCAUGAUAUUUGACGGUACCGCUAGAGGAAGCACCGGCUAACUCCGUGCCAGCAGCCGCGGUAAUACGGGGGGUGCAAGCGUUGUUCGGAAUUAUUGGGCGUAAAGAGCGUGUAGGCGGCUGAGCAAGUCAGAUGUGAAAGCCCCGGGGCUUAACCCGGGGAAGUGCAUUUGAAACUGUUCGGCUUGAGUAGGGGAGAGGAAAGUGGAAUUCCGUGGUGUAGAGGUGAAAUUUCGAGAUAUCAGGAGGAACACGGCGGCGAAGGCGACUUUCUGGCCCUAUACGUG